GCCCCUGGAUAAAGUGACUGCACAAGGAGCCAGCCCACCUUCCCAUCCUCCUCAUGGACAACAGAGCUGGAACCCUUGCAAGGCAGUGGUGCAGUCUUUCCGAGUUUCUGGAUUCCCUGCAUCUGUGAGGAGCAGUUCUGCUGCCAACUUCAUCCCUCUUCCUUCACAGAAGAAAGACUUCUGAGCUUGCCGACAGUCGCCCAGUCAUGUGGGACAGUGGCAGGGAUGUAACUACAGAGAAGUGCAUAUGCUUGUCUCCUGGGAGCCACCACAGCUCUGCAGAAGUGCUCUCAAUAGCCACCAAUCUCUCAUCUUGGGAAGAAACAAGUGAUUUAGGAUCUGAAGGACACAUGACUCAAUGCCAUCCAAAAUUCAGUAGCUGUCUGUUGUUGGUGCAGAUCUGAAGAUGCAAUGCAGGUGCUCAGAGAGAUGGAAAAUCGUGCUGUGCUACGUACUUCAGCUGCCAAGAAAUGCUAAUUGUGUGGCUGGCUGGGAGUGCACAGGAACAGCAGUGCAAGUGGUGGAAGGGAAACCCAGAUCUCCCAAGCACCAGAUCAGCAGCUCCUCCAAGGAUCAACAGUUCUGCUGUGGUGGCUGCAUGAUGCUCAACAGCCUUGUUCCUGAAGUGGGGCCAGCACUUGCUGCAGCUGAUGGAAAAAACUUCAGCAUUUUUGGAGGUAGUCAUGCUGCCCUGAUCACAGCAACACCGGAGCUCUUCAAGGAGUGCAUCAUCACAGGACUUAGAUUUAUCUUUUGUGGCUCUCCCUUCUUCCAUGUCCCUGAAAUAAUAACAGAGGAGGAGGAUGUGAUUAGUGUUUUCUGCCAUGGGAUGUCAGCUGAGGGAUGAGAACCGUGUGCCAAGAGGAGGAAAGAGCUGUCACAGAUGGAUGGUACGUCGAUGGCUUCUGUCAUGUGGCUGCUGGGUCAAGAUCUGUG
RNAcentral lists this long non-coding RNA (936 nucleotides) under Calidris pugnax (ruff). Its description in RNAcentral is "lncRNA (ENSCPUG00000006899.1)". Lineage: Eukaryota; Metazoa; Chordata; Aves; Charadriiformes; Scolopacidae. The record is from RNAcentral.